GAGCACUGUUCGUGACCUGGCAGCCUAGCUGUGGCUGUUGGGUUCCAUUCCGGUGCCACAGCAUCACCAUUGGCCUCAAGCAGCUGGCUGUCUGUGGGGCUUCCAGUUUGGGGUCUUGGAGACAACA
Small nucleolar RNA from Ochotona princeps (American pika), 127 nucleotides. The record is from RefSeq and is a predicted model, not a curated record. Lineage: Eukaryota; Metazoa; Chordata; Mammalia; Lagomorpha; Ochotonidae.